This 74-nucleotide transfer RNA is filed under the name Patescibacteria group bacterium. RNAcentral describes it as "tRNA-Arg". It matches the Rfam family "tRNA". From Rfam's summary of the family: Transfer RNA (tRNA) molecules are approximately 80 nucleotides in length. Their secondary structure includes four short double-helical elements and three loops (D, anti-codon, and T loops). Further hydrogen bonds mediate the characteristic L-shaped molecular structure. tRNAs have two regions of fundamental functional importance: the anti-codon, which is responsible for specific mRNA codon recognition, and the 3' end, to which the tRNAs corresponding amino acid is attached (by aminoacyl-tRNA synthetases). tRNAs cope with the degeneracy of the genetic code in two manners: having more than one tRNA (with a specific anti-codon) for a particular amino acid; and 'wobble' base-pairing, i.e. permitting non-standard base-pairing at the 3rd anti-codon position. The record is from RNAcentral. RNAcentral also lists the same sequence under 2 other names.
GCGCCAAUAGCUCAGUUGGAUAGAGCAACUGCCUUCUAAGCAGUAGGUCACAGGUUCGAGUCCUGUUUGGCGCA